Molecule: unclassified non-coding RNA, 641 nt
Filed under: Leishmania donovani
Lineage: Eukaryota; Euglenozoa; Kinetoplastea; Trypanosomatida; Trypanosomatidae
Description: gene:unknown
Source: RNAcentral
GGAGGAUGGCGGUACGCGCUACUCUUACAGAAAAAGCUCUUGUUUCUUCCCUUUUAUCCCGAAUAUAGAAGGGCAGGCGUUGGAGAUGAACAGAGGUGAUAUCGUGCGCAAACAAAAACAGCCAUCAACGUCUGCCUACGAUCGCGACAAGUUUCUGGAGGCCAUGGAGCGGUACUCGAACUAUGUGAGCUCGUGGAGUUGGUUGAUCGGAGGGCCCUCUAGCUACUUUGUAGUGGAGCCGGAACAGUCGUCCGCUGAGCCUUCGCUUUAGCGGUAGCCGUUUUUUGUUGUCGAAUGGGCGUGUGUGUGGUGGUUUUCAGAUAGUAUCUGCUCCGCGUAUGAAAGCGCUACUAUUUGUUUGUAUUUUAGCUCACGAGCUUGCGUCUUCAACAACAAAAAAAAACGAACAGAGGUGUGGCCGUUCUUGGAAUCGAAAGCAGCGAGCUGAGUCUUCCAAAUCUCUCAGCUUGUCGGGAUGGCGCUCGUUGCAGUCUCAGUACUAGCCUUUUCCCUGGAUGGGGGCGUUUAUUUGUGACGCGCCAUCUUCCCCUGGCCAUGUUACCGAUGCCUUUGGCUCUACUUAACGCUGCUUCGGUCACCUGUCCUUUUCUUUCGGUUGUUCUUUUCCAUGAGUUUUGCAG